This 782-nucleotide ribosomal RNA is filed under the name uncultured bacterium. Its description in RNAcentral is "bacterial SSU rRNA". It matches the Rfam family "Bacterial small subunit ribosomal RNA", at positions 56 to 812 of the family's 1533-position model. The record is from RNAcentral.
UGCAAGUCGAGCGAGAAAGGGAACUUCGGUUCCUGAGUAGAGCGGCGGACGGGUGAGUAACACGUGGGUAAUCUGCCCUUGGGUGGGGAAUAACUCAGGGAAACCUGGGCUAAUUCCGCAUGACACUUUUGAUACAUACGUAUUGAGAAUCAAAGCUGGGGACCCUUCGGGGCCUGGCGCCUGAGGAGGAGCCUGCGGCCAAUUAGCUUGAUGGUGAGGUAACGGCUCACCAUGGCUACGAUUGGUAGCCGGCCUGAGAGGGCGAACGGUCACACUGGGACUGAGACACGGCCCAGACUCCUACGGGAGGCAGCAGUGGGGAAUUUUUGUCAAUGGGGGAAACCCUGAACAAGCAACGCCGCGUGAAGGACAAAGACCCUCGGGUUGUAAACUUCUGUCGGAGGGGACGAAAGCUUUCGUGGUUAAUACCCAUGAUGGUUGACGGUACCCUAUGAGGAAGCCCCGGCUAACUCCGUGCCAGCAGCCGCGGUAAUACGGGGGGGGCAAGCGUUGUUCGGAAUUACUGGGCGUAAAGGGCGCGCAGGCGGGCGGGAAAGUCUCUCGUGAAAUCCCACGGCUCAACCGUGGAAUUGCGGGAGAUACUACUCGUCUUGAGUCCGGGAGAGGAGUGUGGAAUUCCCAGUGUAGCGGUGAAAUGCGUAGAUAUUGGGAGGAACACCGGUGGCGAAGGCGGCACUCUGGACCGGUACUGACGCUGAGGCGCGAAAGCUAGGGGAGCAAACGGGAUUAGAUACCCCGGUAGUCCUAGCUGUAAACGCUGA